CUUUACUGUAGCUUGGUAUUGGGUUCGGGCUUUGUUUGCGCAGGAUAGGUGGGAGGCGUUGAGAUAUCCCUUGUGGGGGAUAAGGAGCCAACGGUGAGAUACCACUCUAACAAGGCUAGAAUUCUAACUUUGAGCCGUGAAGCCGGCCAAAGGACAGUAUCAGGUGGGCAGUUUGACUGGGGCGGUCGCCUCCUAAACGAUAACGGAGGCGUACAAAGGUUCCCUCAGGCUGGUUGGAAAUCAGCCAUUGAGUGCAAAAGCAUAAGGGAGCUUGACUGCGAGACCUACAAGUCAAGCAGGGACGAAAGUCGGUUUUAGUGAUCCGACGGCACUGCGUGGAAGGGCCGUCGCUCAACGGAUAAAAGUUA
RNAcentral lists this ribosomal RNA (368 nucleotides) under uncultured organism. Its description in RNAcentral is "bacterial LSU rRNA". It matches the Rfam family "Bacterial large subunit ribosomal RNA", at positions 2099 to 2465 of the family's 2925-position model. The record is from RNAcentral.